Molecule: ribosomal RNA, 214 nt
Filed under: Glaesserella parasuis
Lineage: Bacteria; Pseudomonadati; Pseudomonadota; Gammaproteobacteria; Pasteurellales; Pasteurellaceae
Description: partial 16S ribosomal RNA
Rfam family: Bacterial small subunit ribosomal RNA
Source: RNAcentral
CACAUGCAAGUCGAACGGUAGCAGGAAGAAGCUUGCUUCUUUGCUGACGAGUGGCGGACGGGUGAGUAAUGCUUGGGAAUCUGGCUUAUGGAGGGGGAUAACUACGGGAAACUGUAGCUAAUACCGCGUAGUAUCGGGAGAUGAAAGACUGGGACCGCAAGGCCAGUUGCCAUAAGAUGAGCCCAAGUGGGAUUAGGUAGUUGGUGGGGUAAAG